GACGAACGCUGGCGGCGUGCCUAAUACAUGCAAGUCGAGCGAAUGGAAGGGAGCUUACUCCCUGAAGUUAGCGGCGGACGGGUGAGUAACACGUGGGCAACCUGCCUGUAAGACUGGGAUAACUUCGGGAAACCGGAGCUAGUACCGGAUACGUUCUUUUCUCGCAUGAGGAAAGAUGGAAAGUUGGUUUCGGCCAUCACGUACAGAUGGGCCCGCGGCGCAUUAGCUAGUUGGUGGGGUAAUGGCCCACCAAGGCGACGAUGCGUAGCCGACCUGAGAGGGUGAUCGGCCACACUGGGACUGAGACACGGCCCAGACUCCUACGGGAGGCAGCAGUAGGGAAUCUUCCGCAAUGGACGAAAGUCUGACGGAGCAACGCCGCGUGAGCGAAGAAGGCCUUCGGGUCGUAAAGCUCUGUUGUCAGGGAAGAACAAGUGCCAGAGUAACUGCUGGCACCUUGACGGUACCUGACCAGAAAGCCACGGCUAACUACGUGCCAGCAGCCGCCGUAA
RNAcentral lists this ribosomal RNA (512 nucleotides) under uncultured bacterium. Its description in RNAcentral is "partial 16S ribosomal RNA". It matches the Rfam family "Bacterial small subunit ribosomal RNA", at positions 28 to 523 of the family's 1533-position model. The record is from RNAcentral.